Molecule: ribosomal RNA, 894 nt
Filed under: Lysinibacillus macroides
Lineage: Bacteria; Bacillati; Bacillota; Bacilli; Caryophanales; Bacillaceae
Description: bacterial SSU rRNA
Rfam family: Bacterial small subunit ribosomal RNA
Source: RNAcentral
GGAAGGAGAGGGGGCGUGCUAUAAUGCAGUCGAGCGAACAGAGAAGGAGCUUGCUCCUUUGACGUUAGCGGCGGACGGGUGAGUAACACGUGGGCAACCUACCCUAUAGUUUGGGAUAACUCCGGGAAACCGGGGCUAAUACCGAAUAAUCUAUGUUGCCUCAUGGUGACAUACUGAAAGACGGUUUCGGCUGUCGCUAUAGGAUGGGCCCGCGGCGCAUUAGCUAGUUGGUGAGGUAAUGGCUCACCAAGGCGACGAUGCGUAGCCGACCUGAGAGGGUGAUCGGCCACACUGGGACUGAGACACGGCCCAGACUCCUACGGGAGGCAGCAGUAGGGAAUCUUCCACAAUGGGCGAAAGCCUGAUGGAGCAACGCCGCGUGAGUGAAGAAGGUUUUCGGAUCGUAAAACUCUGUUGUAAGGGAAGAACAAGUACAGUAGUAACUGGCUGUACCUUGACGGUACCUUAUUAGAAAGCCACGGCUAACUACGUGCCAGCAGCCGCGGUAAUACGUAGGUGGCAAGCGUUGUCCGGAAUUAUUGGGCGUAAAGCGCGCGCAGGCGGUCCUUUAAGUCUGAUGUGAAAGCCCACGGCUCAACCGUGGAGGGUCAUUGGAAACUGGGGGACUUGAGUGCAGAAGAGGAAAGUGGAAUUCCAAGUGUAGCGGUGAAAUGCGUAGAGAUUUGGAGGAACACCAGUGGCGAAGGCGACUUUUCUGGUCUGUAACUGACGCUGAGGCGCGAAAGCGUGGGGAGCAAACAGGAUUUAGAUACCCUGGUAGUCCACGCCGUAAACGAUGAGUGCUAAGUGUUAGGGGGUUUCCGCCCCUUUAGUGCUGCAGCUAACGCAUUAAGCACUCCGCCUGGGGAGUACGGUCGCAAGAUUGAAACUCAA